AGAAAGAUAAGCUAACAAAGCUACUGGGUUCAUACCCCAUUUAUAGGGGUUCAACCCCCUUCUCUCUA
This 68-nucleotide transfer RNA is filed under the name Indonemoura nohirae. RNAcentral describes it as "tRNA-Met". It matches the Rfam family "tRNA". From Rfam's summary of the family: Transfer RNA (tRNA) molecules are approximately 80 nucleotides in length. Lineage: Eukaryota; Metazoa; Arthropoda; Insecta; Plecoptera; Nemouridae. The record is from RNAcentral.